This 995-nucleotide ribosomal RNA is filed under the name uncultured bacterium. RNAcentral describes it as "bacterial SSU rRNA". It matches the Rfam family "Bacterial small subunit ribosomal RNA", at positions 355 to 1375 of the family's 1533-position model. The record is from RNAcentral.
UGGGGAAUAUUGCACAAUGGGGGAAACCCUGAUGCAGCGACGCCGCGUGGAGGAAGAAGGUCUUCGGAUUGUAAACUCCUGUUGUUGGGGAAGAUAAUGACGGUACCCAACAAGGAAGUGACGGCUAACUACGUGCCAGCAGCCGCGGUAAAACGUAGGUCACAAGCGUUGUCCGGAAUUACUGGGUGUAAAGGGAGCGCAGGCGGGAAGACAAGUUGGGAGUGAAAUAUAUGGGCUCAACCCAUAAACUGCUUUCAAAACUGUUUUUCUUGAGUAGUGCAGAGGUAGGCGGAAUUCCCGGUGUAGCGGUGGAAUGCGUAGAUAUCGGGAGGAACACCAGUGGCGAAGGCGGCCUACUGGGCACCAACUGACGCUGAGGCUCGAAAGUGUGGGUAGCAAACAGGAUUAGAUACCCUGGUAGUCCACACCGUAAACGAUGAUUACUAGGUGUUGGAGGAUUGACCCCUUCAGUGCCGCAGUUAACACAAUAAGUAAUCCACCUGGGGAGUACGACCGCAAGGUUGAAACUCAAAGGAAUUGACGGGGGCCCGCACAAGCAGUGGAGUAUGUGGUUUAAUUCGACGCAACGCGAAGAACCUUACCAAGUCUUGACAUCCCUUGACAGGCAUAGAAAUAUGUUUUCUCUUCGGAGCAAGGAGACAGGUGGUGCAUGGUUGUCGUCAGCUCGUGUCGUGAGAUGUUGGGUUAAGUCCCGCAACGAGCGCAACCCUUAUGGUCAGUUACUACGCAAGAGGACUCUGGCCAGACUGCCGUUGACAAAACGGAGGAAGGUGGGGAUGACGUCAAAUCAUCAUGCCCUUUAUGACUUGGGCUACACACGUACUACAAUGGCGUUAAACAAAGAGAAGCAAGACCGCGAGGUGGAGCAAAACUCAGAAACAACGUCCCAGUUCGGACUGCAGGCUGCAACUCGCCUGCACGAAGUCGGAAUUGCUAGUAAUCGUGGAUCAGCAUGCCACGGUGAAUACGUUCCC